This 344-nucleotide long non-coding RNA is filed under the name Elaeis guineensis (African oil palm). RNAcentral describes it as "long non-coding RNA (EGUI_LNC023344)". Lineage: Eukaryota; Viridiplantae; Streptophyta; Magnoliopsida; Arecales; Arecaceae. The record is from RNAcentral.
CUGGGAUUUGUCAGCUCCUAGGAGCUAUGCCUCUAACAUACUAAUUUCUUCUCCUUGUAAGGUUGCUAGUGGUAAGGGAAAAAGUGCCCCUAUCGAAUCUCCUUUGGACUUCCCUCUAGUCCUUGGUCCCCCUCUAAUCAUAUAGUCGAUCCCACCUGAUGUUGCUCCUACUCUAAUUGUGGAGUCAAUUCCUUUUGAUGUUAAACCUUGUGAGGAUCAGCUGGACCCUCCCUUUGCUGGUACUGAUUUCAGGGACUCUACUCUAUUUUGGUUGUAUGACAAGGAGAUAGUGCCCCCACGAGUGUGGUGGUGACUCCUGUGGACUGUGAGAACUUGGAGGUGGC